AGUGAACGCUGGCGGUAGGCCUAACACAUGCAAGUCGAACGGCAGCACAGUAAGAGCUUGCUCUUACGGGUGGCGAGUGGCGGACGGGUGAGGAAUAUAUCGGAAUCUACUUUUUCGUGGGGGAUAACGUAGGGAAACUUACGCUAAUACCGCAUACGACCUACGGGUGAAAGCAGGGGAUCUUCGGACCUUGCGCGAUUGAAUGAGCCGAUGUCGGAUUAGAUAGUUGGCGGGGUAAAGGCCCACCAAGGCGACGAUCCGUAGCUGGUCUGAGAGGAUGAUCAGCCACACUAGAGGUGAGACACGCUCCAGACUCCUGAGGGAGGCCGCAGUGGGGAAUAUUGGGCAAUGGGGGGAAACCUGGUCCAGCCAUACCGCGUGGGUGAAGAAGGCCUUCGGGUUGUAAAGCCCUUUUGUUGGGAAAGAAAAGCAGCAGGUUAAUACCCAGCUGUUCUGACGGUACCCAAAGAAUAAGCACCGGCUAACUUCGUG
This 492-nucleotide ribosomal RNA is filed under the name uncultured bacterium. RNAcentral's name for it is "partial 16S ribosomal RNA". It matches the Rfam family "Bacterial small subunit ribosomal RNA", at positions 29 to 507 of the family's 1533-position model. The record is from RNAcentral.